Molecule: ribosomal RNA, 1017 nt
Filed under: Acinetobacter calcoaceticus
Lineage: Bacteria; Pseudomonadati; Pseudomonadota; Gammaproteobacteria; Moraxellales; Moraxellaceae
Description: bacterial SSU rRNA
Rfam family: Bacterial small subunit ribosomal RNA
Source: RNAcentral
AUGCACGUGGAGCGUAGAGGGGAGCUUGCACCUGAAUCCUAGCGGCGGACGGGUGAGUAAUGCUUAGGAAUCGGCCUAUUAGGGGGGGACAACGUUCCGAAAGGGACGCUAAUACCGCAUACGUCCUACGGGAGAAAGCGGGGGAUCUUCGGACCUUGCGCUAAUAAAUGAGCCUAAGUCGGAUUAGCUAGUUGGUGGGGUAAAGGCCUACCAAGGCGACAAUCUGUAGCGGGUCUGAGAGGAUGAUCCGCCACACUGGGACUGAGACACGGCCCAAACUCCUACGGGAGGCAGCAGUGGGGAAUAUUGGACAAUGGGGGCAACCCUGAUCCAGCCAUGCCGCGUGUGUGAAGAAGGCCUUUUGGUUGUAAAGCACUUUAAGCGAGGAGGAGGCUUACCUGGUUAAUACCCGGGAUAAGUGGACGUUACUCGCAGAAUAAGCACCGGCUAACUCUGUGCCAGCACCCGCGGUAAUACAGAGGGUGCAAGCGUUAAUCGAAUUUACUGGGCGUAAAGCGCGCGUAGGUGGCUAAUUAAGUCAAAUGUGAAAUCCCCGAGCUUAACUUGGGAAUUGCAUUCAAUACUGGUUAGCUAGAGUAUGGGAGAGGAUGGUAGAAUUCCAGGUGUAGCGGUGAAAUGCGUAGAGAUCUGGAGGAAUACCGAUGGCGAAGGCAGCCAUCUGGCCUAAUACUGACACUGAGGUGCAAAAGCAUGGGGAGCAAACAGGAUUAGAUACCCUGGUAGUCCAUGCCAUAAACGAUGUCUACUAGCCGUUGGGGGCCCUUGAGGUUUUAGUGGCGCAUCUAACGUGAUAAGUAAACCGCCUGGGGAGUACGGUCGCGAGACUAAAUCUCAAAUUAAUUGACGGGGGCCCCGCACAAGCGGUAGCAGCAUGUUGUUUUAUUUCGAUGCAACGCGAACAAUCUUACCUGGUCUUGACAUACAGAGACUUUCCAGAGAUGGGAGUGGUGGUCUUGCGGGAACUCCUGAAUAAAGGUGCUGCAAUGGCUGUCGUCA